This 164-nucleotide ribosomal RNA is filed under the name Sabal palmetto (cabbage palmetto). RNAcentral's name for it is "5.8S ribosomal RNA". It matches the Rfam family "5.8S ribosomal RNA". From Rfam's summary of the family: 5.8S ribosomal RNA (5.8S rRNA) is a component of the large subunit of the eukaryotic ribosome. It is transcribed by RNA polymerase I as part of the 45S precursor that also contains 18S and 28S rRNA. Lineage: Eukaryota; Viridiplantae; Streptophyta; Magnoliopsida; Arecales; Arecaceae. The record is from RNAcentral.
RAAAHGACUGUUGACAACGGAUAUCUGGGCUCUUGCAUCGAUGAACAACGUAGCAAAAUGCGAUACCUGGUGUGAAUURCAGUAUCCUGCGAACCAUCGAGUCUUUGAAUGCAAGUUGCACCCGAGGCCGCCAGGCCGAGGGCAUGCCUGCCUGGGCAUCACGC